RNAcentral lists this ribosomal RNA (774 nucleotides) under uncultured Neocallimastigales. RNAcentral describes it as "partial large subunit ribosomal RNA". It matches the Rfam family "Eukaryotic large subunit ribosomal RNA", at positions 24 to 638 of the family's 3401-position model. Lineage: Eukaryota; Fungi; Neocallimastigomycota; Neocallimastigomycetes; Neocallimastigales. The record is from RNAcentral.
GUAGUCUCGCACAGAUGCAUAUCAAUAAGCGGAGGAAAAGAAACUAACAAGGAUUCCCCUAGUAACGGCGAGUGAAGCGGGAAGAGCUCAAAUUUGAAAUCUUAAAGGGUUUCCCUUUACGAAUUGUAGUUUAACGAAGUGUUUUCUGUUGAGGUUUUGGUAAAAGUUCUUUGGAAUAGGACAUCAUAGAGGGUGAGAAUCCCGUAUUUGACCUUUACUUUCAACUUUGUGAUACACUUUCAAAGAGUCGGAUUGUUUGGGAAUGCAGUCCAAAAUGGGUGGUAAAUUUCAUCUAAAGCUAAAUAUUGGCGAGAGACCGAUAGCGAACAAGUACCGUGAGGGAAAGAUGAAAAGAACUUUGAAAAGAGAGUUAAACAGUACGUGAAAUUGUCAAAAGGGAAGCGUUUGACACCAGUGUUGUUUUUCUGAAAAUCAAUUAAAGAACUGUUUAUGCUAAGCUGUUUAGACUUUAUCAGCUAAUCUGUUUAGUUUUGAGCUUUUCUUUAAUGCACUUUUCAGUUAACAAGUCAACAUCAAUUUCUUUUGCUGUAAAAAAGCUUGAGGAAGGUGGCUUGAGAUUCGUCUUAAGUGUUUAUAGCCUCUUGCCUAUGCAGUCGGAGAGAUUGAGGUCUGCAGCGUAGAUCCUUCGGGGCUAAAUGCAUUUGUGCUAAGUUAUAGCAUUUUAUAGACAACUUGUUGACUAUGAUUUGUCUUGUAGCUUACUCGCUUAUGUUAUUUUACCUACGCUUAGGAUGUUGAACUACUGAGACAUAG